Non-coding RNA from Pelobates cultripes (western spadefoot toad), 220 nucleotides. NCBI's taxonomy places the organism in Eukaryota, Metazoa, Chordata, Amphibia, Anura, Pelobatidae. The record is from the annotation of a GenBank genome assembly.
ACAGGGUCUAUAAAGGGAACAUUGACACAUACAGAGGAGCUGGGGAUGGGGACAAUGACACACUAAGGUGGUGGGGGAGAAAGAGACACAUAAUGGGCUGGAGGGAAAUAAGAGAUACACAGAGUGGGAAAGAAAGAGAAAAAUAAGGGGGUGUAAGACACAAAGUGAAAAAAGGGAGAUACACUAAAUGGGAUGUAAGACACAAAAGGUGGGUAAUAUG